CCUUUUAUUAAAAAAGGCCUGCGAGACCACUUCUUGGUGCAGACAUGGACCAAUGUCUUCAUGGGUCUGCAGACCUCUUCUUCUUCACAAAACCCUAGCACCUCUUCACCCCUUCUCCUUCACCCCUUCUCCUACACCCCUUCUCCUCCACCCACCGUCCGCCACCACCUCUACCUCCGCCGCCCCUCCACUUCCGCCACCCCACUCCAGCCGACACCCACGCACGACUCUUCAGUACGGUGUCCCUCUUCAGGCGAAUCCUGGCCGCCUCUCCCUCGACAUCUUUUUCAGCCACUCUCGCGACAAUGUCUCUCAGAUUCGAGUCUUCUUCUUGUAGACUGCAGAGGUUUGGUCCACCGUUCAGCUACAGGUGUCCGCAGAUGUGGUCCGCAGACUGCAGAUGUUUUACCUCUGAAAAAACAAACAGCACCUUAAUCUCCUAUGGUUUAUACAGUCAUGGAAAAAACGUGUGUUGUCAUCCCUUCAUCAGUUGCCCAUUUUACUCUAUCCAUUUGUUUCACAUAUUUCUUUUAAUAUCUUCGAGGGCCUGACUUAAUUGUUGCAGCCCAUGUGAUACAUUAAAAGCCCAUUUGAUUAUUUAAUGUUUCCAUCCAUUAGUUUAGCCAACAUAGUUUAAUCCAUUAAUUUCA
This is a long non-coding RNA of Helianthus annuus (common sunflower), 650 nucleotides long. RefSeq lists it as uncharacterized. The transcript has 2 exons. The record is from RefSeq and is a predicted model, not a curated record. Lineage: Eukaryota; Viridiplantae; Streptophyta; Magnoliopsida; Asterales; Asteraceae.